GAGACGCUGGCGGCGUGCCUAACACAUGCAAGUCGAGCGGGGUUGAAGCGAGGGUAACUCGAGUUCUACCUAGCGGCGGACGGGUGAGUAACGCGUGGGCAACCUGCCUCAAGGACUGGGAUAACAGCUCGAAAGGGCUGCUAAUACCGGAUAAGCCUAUGGCCUCGCAUGGGGCCAUGAGCAAAGGGGAAACCUGCCUUGAGAUGGGCCCGCGUCCCAUCAGCUAGUUGGUGAGGUGAAGGCUCACCAAGGCGACGACGGGUAGCCGGCCUGAGAGGGUGACCGGCCACACUGGGACUGAGACACGGCCCAGACUCCUACGGGGGGCAGCAGUGGGGAAUCUUGCACAAUGGGCGAAAGCCUGAUGCAGCGACGCCGCGUGAGCGAAGAAGGCCUUCGGGUUGUAAAGCUCUGUCUGGAGGGACGAAGGAAGUGACGGUACCUCCGGAGGAAGCCACGGCUAACUACGUG
RNAcentral lists this ribosomal RNA (471 nucleotides) under uncultured bacterium. Its description in RNAcentral is "bacterial SSU rRNA". It matches the Rfam family "Bacterial small subunit ribosomal RNA", at positions 33 to 507 of the family's 1533-position model. The record is from RNAcentral.